GGGUCUUUUCUGUCGGCUGUGCGGGAGGCUGACACCCGCACACACGGGCACAACUGACCUUAGAAUUUGUCCAGCAGUGAUUUGCUCUGGAUGGAGCUCGGAACAACAAACAGCUCUUGAACUCACCUCCCAGCCUGAAAAGAAUGCACCAUGUCACACUGUGGUGGAAGCUACAAAUACCUUAUUUUAAAACUCCCUAAGGACCCUCAGAUGCAUACCCAUACUUCCAAAGGUCAAUUCUUCAAAGAUAAGAAGCCCAUGAAUCUGAGUUUCAAAAGAUAAUAUUAUAUAGUGGUUGAGAAUACAUGCUCCAUAUUUACUGGGACCUGGAUUUGAAUUCCAGCUCCACCAUCCACUUACCCGUGUGGGCUCUGGGCCAAAGGACUUCUCUUCAAAGUCUUAGUUUACUCAACCCAAAGUAGAGAUUCACAGGAUUAUGAGAUGAAAGGAUCUAAUACAUUUAAGGAUCAAUAGAUGGAAUUUGUCCUGUUUUGGGGAGUUGAAAUCAUUUAGACUAGCUUGAGGGAAGAUGAUGGAAAGACAGACACGCAGGGAAGAAUGCCAUGUGAAGAGAUGCAGAGAUUGAUGUUCUGCAGCUGUGAGCCGAGGAAUGCUGAGAAUUGCUGACA
Molecule: long non-coding RNA, 629 nt
Organism: Eptesicus fuscus (big brown bat)
Lineage: Eukaryota; Metazoa; Chordata; Mammalia; Chiroptera; Vespertilionidae
Exons: 4
Source: RefSeq, a predicted model, not a curated record